Gallus gallus (chicken) is the source of this 2592-nucleotide long non-coding RNA. Lineage: Eukaryota; Metazoa; Chordata; Aves; Galliformes; Phasianidae. The record is from Ensembl.
GCAAAGCUAAUGAAUAUCACCAAGAGCAAUGGCCUUAUGCCUAAAAUUGAGAGUUAUGUGUCUCUGAACCACACAUUAGGAAAGUUGAUAUGAAGGAAAAUGCAUCUAGAUUCAGAGUACUAGUGCACAGUAAAUUCAGAAUGAAGAAGUACCUUGGGUAUGUUCAUACCCAAAUCCAAUUACUGCACUCCUCUGCCCAAACAAAUCAAGUCCAGGUGAAAUAUCAUGGUCAGAAUCUGGUAAUAUUCAGAGUGUUUUCUGGGUUCCUAAUCAUUGUGGAUCUUAUUUCACCAUGCACCAAAAUGUGCUUAGGUUCACCAGGCUCCAUGAACAAACAAGCAAAAGCACUUGGUGCAAGCUGAGAUAUUGGAAACCACUGUGAGGAGAUUCGUGCUGAAGGAGGCAGCUUUCUAUAAACAGGCUUUUGAAGUGAUAGGAGCGACAUCAUCCAUGAAUGCUAAACUCAUGCAAAAUGGUAGUUUUUCUUAACAGGUUGAGGGAAGUGUCUACUAUGCAUCACCCUACCACAGAAAGUCACAAUGUUCAGAUUGCACUCUUGCAGAGAAAAAGAUAGAGCCCACUGAAUGAUUGCCUUAAUUAAAUUAAUGAAAAUUAAGAAUAGCAUGUGUAUCUAUAUAAGACAUGUCCCAGAUUGUGAAAAUAUCCUUUGUAUUGCAUACAUGUAGCUAAUUAUUGUUUGCUUGCUUUUUUCUUCAGUGUGCGUUUAUUUCCAAUGAGUGCUUUUACCUAUUUCCACCUGUUUUACAUUAGUUAUUGUGCAGCUGAUGAACGCGUUGCAACACCUUGUCUGGCUACUUCAAGUCCUGCCAGGGAACAUGUACAGCUCAAGGAACCAUGCAAGCCCAUAAGCAGACAUCAGAGAUGUACUUGAUGCCAUGAAGGCAUGGGUGGCAAAGUCAAGGUCUUCAUGUUCUUCCUGAAGAUUUGAUUAAAGUUACACGAUUGCAGAAAUCAUGUGUUAGACGCUGGGCAAAUAAACAGGGCUGGCUGGAAGCCUGCUCAGCUGCCUUAUGGCAACGGCUAUGUUCAGUAGUGGAGGAAGACACACGAAGGCUCAAACCGCAGUGGUGUUUCUGAGUUGAUCCCUUCUCUAAUUUGUCCUUCCUGUAUCCUUGCAGCCCUCUUUGUGCCUGCCAUCAUGUGGAAGGUGCUUCAGAAGAGCUAGUAUUUAUGUUAUCCUGAGGCCCUAACCACCCAAAUCCCCCCCAUUGCUGAGUUCUACUACCCACUUUCUGGGUGAAGUGGAGCAACCUUUUUUGCACUACAAAUGAAGUAUCCAUAAGGACCAAAGUCGGGGUGGGAUUUUCCAGCAAAGAACAUGCUUCUCAUGUAUAGAAGAGAGCACAGAGACUUCUGUUCUGUGAGAUAAUUUUUCCUGGUACAUGGUGUAGAGUCAAGGCCGAUACUUCUCAGUGCUGGUGCUGGAUUUCCACUAAUUUUGCAUCAGGGUCUUCCUCUGAAUCCCCCGUGGGAGCUGUCUGGUACUGCUUAAAGGGAUGGUGUUUUUUGUAAUUAUUUAAUGAAUGUUCCAGGUUUUUAUCCUGUGCUUGUUAAACCUUCAUUCCAGUGAAAGUGUAAUCCCAUAUUACUGAAUUUGGAUAAAAAGUGAUCGAGAAUAAACAUUAAUUCCUCAGUAAAGACAUUGGAGUAAAUAUGAUUAGCCUAAUUUUAGUUUUUCUGGUUUGAAAAUAUAGACCCAAGUGCAGAACUGAGCAUUUUGAUUAGAUUAAAAACAUUUAAAAGUAACACAGCAUGCAAAGGGGGCCGUGAGUCUCCAUUAGACUUGUUAUGUUGGCUUAGAAACUUCAUGGGGUAUCUCUUUCUCCAGUGAAUUCUAGGAAAAAUCUCUGUUAAUUAUUAUCAGUUUCUUUCUUCAAUUCCAAUUUUUGAAUAUUUUUUUUUUUUUUGAAUAAGGAAGUGACAGUGAAUUGGAGCAUCUUUAAUUUAAACAAGUUUUUUUUAGCCCUUAGCUGAUGUUGUUGUAUGCUCUCUCCUUAAUCCCUCUGUGAGUUUCCUCCUGCUUUGUGAGACACAGGAGUCCCAACAUUAAAAAAAUAAAAUAAAAUAAAAUAAAAUAAAAUAUAAAAUAAAUAAAAUAAAAUAAAAUAAAUAAAAUAAAAAGUAAAAAAUAAAAAGAAAGCUGAAGCCUAUUUCAGGUUACUAUCUUCUUAUUCCUUCUUUCUAGUUCUCUUUACCUACACAGUCAGCCAUGAAUACUGCACCUUCAUUUAAAUUUUCAGCCAUUGAAUCAUGAUCACUUGAAGACCCAGGAACCCUGGAUGUAACUCAAGGGGUUAUGCUGUUUUUACUGUUUGGCACCUGCUCAGGAAAGGGAACUUAGCUUAGCAGUUAAAGCAUAUGGCAGGGGGAGAUAGCCCAGUAUCUUGGAUGGAGACGCAUAUAUUUUGUACUCUCAUGGUAUGAUGCAUUCUUGUGCUUUGCAGAUGGUGCUUCAGAAUUGUUGCUCUGAAAAGUAAUUUUGACCAGCCAUGCAGGUCUGCUGACACAAACACGAGGAUCAUCAGGUUCUGUGCAGACACUCCCGUGUGCUGCAGAUAUCCUAGCUAGGGA